Molecule: non-coding RNA, 347 nt
Organism: Lonchura striata (white-rumped munia)
Lineage: Eukaryota; Metazoa; Chordata; Aves; Passeriformes; Estrildidae
Source: RefSeq, a predicted model, not a curated record
CCUCUGAAAUGGGUGUUACGUGUGAUGGUAAUGUGGAUGCUUCAUCAUGAAAAUGUCAGGGAGAUGGGUGAUUGGUCCUGCUGACGAAAACCCAAUUCUUCCCACAAGGGAGAAUGAUCUGCAGCUGAAUUACUUCUGACAUAUUCCUUUCAACACAGCGACCAUUUUGAAAGCAUAAUGCAGUUUGGUCAUGCAUGACAACAGUUUUUGCAGCAGAGUAACACGUGAAAAAUCUAAAUCAUGCUGGAAAUUUGAAAGGAAAAUCCAUUUGAUUAGGAUAUAUGGUCUGGGAAAUGCUCUCUCUGUUGUAUUUCACAUCAAUAAAAACUUCUGAUUUGAUUUGUAUG